GAUGAACGCUAGCGAUAGGCUUAACACAUGCAAGUCGAGCGCGACUGAUUUGAUGCUUGCAUCAUUGAAAGUUGAGCGGCGGACGGGUGAGUAACGCGUGGGUAACCUGCCCUAUACACAUGGAUAACAUACUGGAAAGUUUACUAAUACAUGAUAAUGUAUAUUUACGGCAUCGUAGGUAUACCAAAGUGUUAGCGGUAUAGGAUGGACCCGCGUCUGAUUAGCUAGUUGGUGAGAUAACUGCCCACCAAGGCGACGAUCAGUAGCCGACCUGAGAGGGUGAUCGGCCACAUUGGAACUGAGACACGGUCCAA
RNAcentral lists this ribosomal RNA (314 nucleotides) under uncultured bacterium. Its description in RNAcentral is "bacterial SSU rRNA". It matches the Rfam family "Bacterial small subunit ribosomal RNA", at positions 28 to 334 of the family's 1533-position model. The record is from RNAcentral.